CCGAGUUCUGGGUUCUCUUCUCGAGGCCCGACCUCCCAACCCUUGUGUUUAAACCAAUACCAUGUUGCUUCGGCGGGCCCGUCUUCCCCCUGGGAGGACCGCCGGGCGCUGUCUUCAGCGUCUGGCCCGUUGCCCGUCGAUAGCCCAACUUCAAACUCUUGUUUAAUCGUGUCGUCUGAGUAAACAAAACAAAAUAAAACA
RNAcentral lists this unclassified non-coding RNA (201 nucleotides) under uncultured Ascomycota. Its description in RNAcentral is "sequence contains ITS1". The record is from RNAcentral. Lineage: Eukaryota; Fungi; Ascomycota.